ACAACACAAACAAUUGUAGUAGGCAUAUAUCACAAACAUUUAUCUCACAAGAACUUGAGCUAAUACAUGGACUACGAAUCUGAAUAUAUUUCUGUAGAAAAGGGAACACACCGAUGACAAUACACACAUGAACUGGAAUUAAAAGACACAGGGUGAAUUCACAUAUGAGCUAGCAGACCACUAAUUCAUAGAUCAAAUUAAACAUACCAAAUGUUUUCCAAAGCAACUAGAAAUCAACUAGUCAGAACACAUAACAAGAUGCACCAUAUUAUACAAGUAGGAAACUAAACUUAUCAGGUUGCAAGAUCUUAUCAAAUCUGAAUAUUACAUGUACUUCACGUCUCAAAUUUUACAGAAAUUUCAGAGAAGAGAGGGAGAAAGAGAUAUUGCAGCAGCAAGAUUGAGGAGAGAGCAGCAACAAAGGGAGGUUGAGAGAGAGAUUCGGCGGAAUGUGUUGAAGAAGGAGAAGUAGCCGACAGAAAGUGAAGGAGAAGAAAGGAAGCAUAGGCGUGGGGGAAGCAGCAGCAAGAUUGAAGAAAGAGGAGCAGCAAGGACGUGAGGAUGGGGAGCAGCAACAAUUUUGGGGGAUAGAAGAAGAGAAGUAGCAGGAGAUUGGAGAAGGAGCAGCAGAGAUCGGACGCAAGCAAAGCAGCAUCAGGAACGUGGGAAGAGCGGCAACAGCGUGGGGAUGGUCGCGCGGGGCACCAGGCACCUUGUCUGGUUGAGCGCGCGAGCGUGGGGUGGAGGCGCGGUGAUGAUGCGAUGGCUCUGGUGGCUGGAUGGAUGGGCGGUGUGUGCUGGCGGCGGCGUGGGGAUGGAUUGGUGCUGGUGGAUGCUGGUGAUGGAGUGGUGGCAUGCCGCCACGCCGGCCUGGUCGCGGCGGCGGCCGGUGGUGGAGAAGGUGGCGUGAGGGGGAGAGAGGUGUAGCCAGGCCCGAAGGGGAUCGAGGGCCACCCUAUGGAUUUUGACCCCUCUCGAUCAGAUCUGCCACUUUGCACUUUUGCGCUCCUUCUAUCUUCUUCCUUCCCAAGUAGAUCCCCUCUCUUCUAUAGUUAGCCCCUCUGGUUACUUAUUGUCGUCACACACAAUCCCUUCUCUCUUCUCGUUAUCCACAUAGUAGAAAUCUUGACGAUUAUAGUGCCUUUGCGCACUUUUCUGCAAAAGAAAGAAGUCACUAGUCAACAUGCUCUUUCAUGAAUAUCAUCAAAUAUUAAAUAUCUCAUAGCAAGAAUUGAUGGUCAGAACUCAAUAAAUGGUAUAUUUCUAUGCCUAAAUUAUGUAUAUGAAAUGUGCUUAUCAAGUUCCCCCACACUUAAACCAUUGCUUGUCCUCAAGCAAAGGUAUAUGACAAGAGCAAGAAUGUGAACAGUGAGCUGAGUAAAGAAUGUCCUGGUAAAAUAGAUCUCCAAACAAGGCAUGCUUCAGACUUAGCUAGUGAAAAUUAAUGGUUAAGAAUGCUACAAAGCAAUAGGAUCCUAGUAGACUUGGACAUUUUAAACUUCUACAAUGAUAAAAGAAGAUCAACAAGUUUAAAUGAUGAUUGUGCCAAAUGGUUCCUAAAGAGAGCAUGAUCCCGAGAACCAAAAAGAAAUGGAGGUAAUUCUUGUGAUCAAAACACUUAUUGAAUUUGAAAGUAGUAAUGACAAUAUUUCAUCGGUCUCACAAAAGGAACAUACCACCGAUCCCGAGAACAUGGUAUACACCUGGCUCGACCAAUUAUUAGUUUUUUUGUUUGUCUCCCCAAAGGAACAUACCACCGAUCCAGAGAACAUGGUAUACACCUGGUUUGACAAUUACAAUUUUUAUUAUUAAUUACUGCCCAAGCUAACCUGAUUUCACAUGCCACCGAUCCAGGGAACAUGACAUGCUACUGUAGGUAGUCAGACUUAUUUAUUCAUUAUAAGAUUUACUUUUUUUUAAAUGAACAACGCAUAGGCACAAAAACAGGAAUCCUCACUUCUCCAUGUCUAGUUCACAUGCUACCGAUCCAGGGAACAUAGCAUGCUAAUCCAUAGUGGUUAGGUGAUGGCUCUCAAUGGGAACACACUUAGCACAAAUUCAGCAUCUAAACAUGGUGAUCUAGGUGUAUCAUAGUAAAUGCAGAAAAUGACGAAGUUUACUAGUGUACUAGGGAUUUGAGCACUCAAAACUAAUAGUUCUCACUAAUUUCAGCAAAGCAAUCAUUGUAUAGAUCACUAGUUUACAAGGCAUUCAACCAUCAGUUCUCAUGUUCACAUCAAGCACAAUAUGUCAAAUAAAAUUCAGUGGGAAAUCAUUUAAGAAAUGGCUUAAGCAACUCAAAUAUCAAAUGAUUUCAGCAUGAUCAAUGGAUGAUAUAUUCAGAUUGGGGUCAUGAAACAGCUCACCGGGCUUUGAUCAUGUAGCACUUGCUUGAUCACUCUCUAAGCUGCGGCUCUUCUCCAUUGCUUCCUCGUGCAUGCUCCAGCUUCACUCUUCUUCGCAUGUGCCCAUUGCUUCUCCUCAUCACCAUGCCUUGAAUCCACCAGGAUCCCAGGGAAUGUCAUCUCGAACUCGGUCAACUCGCAGUAAAUGGUGCACAAGCAUCAACCUGAAAUGGCCUUGGAGAAGUUUUAUGACUACCUCAACUGAAGAUACCAUGGAAGGCAUGGUAGUAGAAACUUCCACCGGGCUCGUAUCGACAGGUGAAAUAGUAGGGCUUUGCUCCUUGACAUCUGAAGUGACCUCAUCAUAAUCAACAAUGAAGAUUUCCAUCUCAGGCUCAAGCGUUAAAGAAUCGAUGUGGCUAACAUCAUCAAAGGUGAACUUUUCCAUAUCUGGCUCUACCAGCACAUGAUCAAUAUCAACUAAAGGUAUCUCCUCAAUAUCAAAAGUAACUAACUGUAGCUCUGGUUCAUCCCCACAAGAAUCAUCACAAUGCAAAACUGAAUCUAGAAUGCGAGUAUCCAUAUGAUCUGAAGUGUGUGUGUCAACUAGGAUGGUGUCAUCAUCAUCAUCAAAGAUAAUACAUGAAAGCUCAAUCUUGUCACACGGAGAAACUGGUUCCAGAUUUUGUGUAAGAGAUUCUUGCUGAGAUGAAGUGAUUUGUUGCAAGCAAGCAACGGGGCCAGAGGUGGGCUUCUCAUUGUACCACUGAAGUUGGUGGAAGGCUAUGUUCUCAAUCAGCAGAAAAGCAUCAUCAAGUGUCUUGUUUGUAAUAGCUCCACCCGCUGCCAUAUCAAUGUAACCGCGAGUGUCCGAAGUCAAUCCUCUAUAGAAUAUCUACAGCUCUAACCAUCUCUCAAGCCCAUGAUUAGGACAUCUCCUGAACAAGGCUUUGUACCUCUCCCAAGCAUCAUACAAACUCUCGCCUUCACGCUAAACAAAGUUGAAGAUAUCAUCUCGAAUCACGAACUGCUUGUGUAGUGGGAAAUAUUUAUCCAAGAAUGCUUGUGAUAUCUCAAUCCAACUGUAUGACCUUGAUGGCAAGGAUCGGUACCAAACACGAGCAUCAUCACAGAGAGAGAAUGUAAACAACCUACACAUGAUUGCGUCUUGAGGAACUCCGUGGUACUUGACUGUAUCUGAAUACUCCAUGACUCAGUGUAAGUGCUCAUAGGGAUCCUCAGUAGGCCGUCCUCCAAACUGACAUUGUUGAACCAAAGCAAUAAGACUAGGUUUCAGCUCGAAGUUCUCUACCUCAAUAGUUGGCCAAACCGGUCCUGUGAUAUAGCACUGACUUUUGGGCAUCCGAAGAUCACGAAGCAAGGCCAUCUUAACUGAGUGUAACUCUAGAACAACCUGCAAUUAGUUCAGAUUUCCGAUGGACACUCAUAAACAGUGAACACUAGUCAGAAAGUUAGUAUCCUAAUAAGCCGAAGCAACAAAAAGAAAAAAGGUAAAGGAAGCACAGAAAUAAAUUUGACUAGAAAUUUAAACAAAAACUAUACUAAUCCUAGUCUAUAGCUUCACACAAUCGUUCGAUGCUAGUCCCCGGCAACGGCGCCAAAAUGAUCAUUUGUGAGUACAGUGGGGUUUUAUGCCCAAACUGUGAGUGUCGUGUUCUCCACAGGGACUGCAACGAUGCUCGGCUAAAGCUAGGUGACAUAAUUCAAAUUAUGAAUGCAAGAAAAUAAACCUACACUAAACAAGGUUGUUCCCGAAGAUCAUUGACAAAGAAAACGAGAAUCAGCAAAGGGAGAUUCAGAUUUUACUCAAUAUAUUUUUGGUAUUUUCAUUAUACUUGAGAAUCUAAAACACCAACACAAAGGGAAAUAAUAUGACAAGGACACAUAUGUAACUAUCAAGCAUAUGACAGGAGGAAGAAACAAGCUAAUAUGACAGGGACAAAAUUGUAUCACAACACAAACAAUUAUAGUAGGCAUAUAUCACAAACAUUUAUCUCACAAGAACUUGAGCUAAUACAUGGACUAUGAAUCUGAAUAUAUUUCUGUAGAAAAGGGAACACAUCGGUGACAAUACACACAUGAACUGGAAUUAAAAGACACAGGGUGAACUCACACAUGAGCUAGCAGACCACUAAUUCAUAGAUCAAAUUAAACAUACCAAAUGUUUUCCAAAGCAACUAGACAUCAACUAGUCAGAACACAUAAUAAGAUGCACCAUAUUAUACAAGUAGGAAACUGAACUUAUCAGGUUGCAAGAUCUUAUCAAAUCUGAAUAUUACAUGUACUACACAACUCAAAUUUUACAGAAAUUUCAG
This 4681-nucleotide long non-coding RNA is filed under the name Triticum aestivum (bread wheat). RNAcentral describes it as "long non-coding RNA (TAES_LNC014799)". The stretch from base 3262 to 3369 matches the Rfam family "Plant small nucleolar RNA R71". Lineage: Eukaryota; Viridiplantae; Streptophyta; Magnoliopsida; Poales; Poaceae. The record is from RNAcentral.